This 791-nucleotide ribosomal RNA is filed under the name uncultured Bacillota bacterium. RNAcentral's name for it is "bacterial SSU rRNA". It matches the Rfam family "Bacterial small subunit ribosomal RNA", at positions 10 to 799 of the family's 1533-position model. Lineage: Bacteria; Bacillati; Bacillota. The record is from RNAcentral.
AGGUUGAUCCUGGCUCAGGAUGAACGCUGGCGGCGUGCCUAAUACAUGCAAGUCGAACGGAAAUUUAUCGCUGAAGUGGGUUUACUCAAUUCUUGAUAAAUUUUAGUGGCGGACGGGUGAGUAACGCGUGGGUAACCUGCCUUACACUGGGGGACAACAGUUGGAAACGACUGCUAAUACCGCAUAAGCGCACAGAAUCGCAUGAUUCAGUGUGAAAAACUCCGGUGGUGUAAGAUGGACCCGCGUCUGAUUAGCUAGUUGGUGAGGUAACGGCCCACCAAGGCGACGAUCAGUAGCCGGCCUGAGAGGGUGAACGGCCACAUUGGGACUGAGACACGGCCCAAACUCCUACGGGAGGCAGCAGUAGGGAAUAUUGCACAAUGGGGGAAACCCUGAUGCAGCAACGCCGCGUGAGUGAAGAAGUAUUUCGGUAUGUAAAGCUCUAUCAGCAGGGAAGAAAAUGACGGUACCUGACUAAGAAGCCCCGGCUAACUACGUGCCAGCAGCCGCGGUAAUACGUAGGGGGCAAGCGUUAUCCGGAUUCACUGGGCGUAAAGGGAGCGUAGACGGCAUGGCAAGUCUGAUGUGAAAGCUCGGGGCUCAACCCCGGAACUGCAUUGGAAACUGUCAAGCUAGAGUGCAGGAGAGGUAAGUGGAAUUCCUAGUGUAGCGGUGAAAUGCGUAGAUAUUAGGAGGAACACCGGCGGCGAAGGCGGCUUACUGGACUGUAACUGACGUUGAGGCUCGAAAGCGUGGGGAGCAAACAGGAUUAGAUACCCUGGUAGUCCCCU